GACCGCGCAGCUCAGUUGGCAGAGCAUUGGGCUAGUAUUCCAAAGGUCGUAGGUUCGUUUCCCACCGUGGCCA
Molecule: transfer RNA, 73 nt
Filed under: Paramuricea clavata
Lineage: Eukaryota; Metazoa; Cnidaria; Anthozoa; Malacalcyonacea; Plexauridae
Rfam family: tRNA
About the family: Transfer RNA (tRNA) molecules are approximately 80 nucleotides in length. Their secondary structure includes four short double-helical elements and three loops (D, anti-codon, and T loops). Further hydrogen bonds mediate the characteristic L-shaped molecular structure. tRNAs have two regions of fundamental functional importance: the anti-codon, which is responsible for specific mRNA codon recognition, and the 3' end, to which the tRNAs corresponding amino acid is attached (by aminoacyl-tRNA synthetases). tRNAs cope with the degeneracy of the genetic code in two manners: having more than one tRNA (with a specific anti-codon) for a particular amino acid; and 'wobble' base-pairing, i.e. permitting non-standard base-pairing at the 3rd anti-codon position.
Source: Rfam by way of RNAcentral